Long non-coding RNA from Dasypus novemcinctus (nine-banded armadillo), 2312 nucleotides. Lineage: Eukaryota; Metazoa; Chordata; Mammalia; Cingulata; Dasypodidae. The record is from Ensembl.
AUGCAGCAAGCUGCUGUUCAACUUCCUUUCUUCCCGCCUCCCGGAAGCCGGCGAGAAUCCUCGGGAGGCUCAGCUACCCUUCUAGCCUCCUUCAGCAUGGUUGGUUGUGCGCAGCCACCUUCCACCUUCAGCCCCCCGCCCGCCGGACCCGGGCCCGUGGGCCGCUUGUGGUGGCAGCCGCGCGGGGUCUGUCCCCUGCGCUACGCACGCCGGCCAGGGCCGGGCCUGCUGGGGCGGGCGCUGGGGCCACCGCGCGUCCACACUAGCUGCGGCGUGUCUGGGUUAGCGGAGGGUUCAGCGGGACGAUUAGGGCCGACUGCCAGAGCCGGAGGCAAAGAGUAAGAAGAGAUCAACACACCAUAACUGCUGUUUUGGGCUUCGAUGAGGACAUUAUGGAUAAUUCAGACAAACCAGGGGUUAGGUUUUUUGGUUUUGUUUUGUUUUUUUCACUUGCACUACCUAGGUGAAAUAACACACUCACAGUGGAAAACUACAUGGAACUGAACGAAAGACUACUGUGUUUUGGAAAUUAUCCCAUGGAUAAGGAAUGGAAAGUUCAGCCUUAAGAGAUCUGAGUUCAUUAUCUGACUAACUUUUUGUGGGAAAUAUUUCUUCUCCAAAAAAUAUUUGGUGUUCAGGAGCUCCAAUUUCCUCAGCAAUACUAAAGAGAUAAGGAAUAGGGGUUCAGAAGCUGGUGAACUCUGCUUAUCCCACUCUCUUCUCAGAACUGAGUACAGAAAAUAUCAAAUAGUAGUGCAACUGGAUACCCUGAUGCCCCCUUCAGGAUGAAAUUUUACUCUGUGGAAAGAAUAUAGGCCCUAUAAGUUUAUAUUUAUCAUAUAUAUAGGUGUUGUAAUUGAUUUAACAGUUUUCUUCAAGUAGUUACAAUAUAACAGCUCCAAAUAGCUUAUUAUUAAAUUGUAAGCAAAAUCUUAGGAUAUUUGGAAUGUAGUUAGUAUUAAUAUAAAUAUAAAUUUCAUUUAUCUUGGGUCAGACCAUCAGUAGUUGCCAGUUGUCUUCAAUAAUUAGCUUAAAUUGUUUUUUUUUUUCAUUUGGAAUGAAAAAGCAAUAUUCUUGCCUUCUCAAGUUCAACUGGGUUUAAAAAUUUAAUAUUUUGAUCCUAUUUUCUGAAAUUUAUGUAUGUAUUUUGCUUCAUCUUAAAUUGUACAUACUUGGAGGCCUAGAAUUUGAUGAUAUACAUAUUAUUAUUAUUUUCCUUAAGAUUUUACUUCAUAUUAAAGAAGUUCUAGGAUUUACUCAUUUUUUAAAUAUAUUUUUUAUUUAGAGAAGUUGUGAGCUUACUAAUCAUCUAAAAUGUGCAGAAUACCCAUACAUCAUCCCUCCACCAACACUUUAUGUUGUGGAAUAUUUGUUACAGAUUAUGAAAGAACACGAUCAGAUUACCACUAACUAUGGUCCAUAGCUUACAUUUGGUAUAUUUUUUCCAUGUACCUCCUAUUGUUAAUACUAUGUAUUAGUAUUAUAGAUUUAUUUUAGUUCAUGAGAGAACAUGUUCAUAUUUGUGCUACUAACAAGUGAUCUUCUACUACAUGGUUCACUAUUGUACAGUCCCAUGCCUUAUACAAUCUAUCCAAAGUGUACACUCAGUAGCUCUCACUUUCAUCACAUCGUUGUGCAGUCAUCACCUCAAUAAAUUUUUGAACAUUUUCCUUAGUCCAAAAGAAAAAAUCCUAUACUUUCCCCCAUUAUUUAAUGUUCAACAUUGUCCUUUUGAUAAAGCAAAGACAUUUUACUAUCACAAAACCAUUUUUUAAAAAGAAUUAACAUCUAUCAGUUGUAAUUUCUGCUUUCUACAGAUAGGCCUGGAGCAAGUAAUGAAAUAAUACAUUGUAGAAAAUGUGAGAAACUUAAGGAAGCAAAAAAGAGAACAUAAAUGUCACUUUGAGAUAAAAUGCUAACAUUUUGGUGCAGUCCUUUUAAACUUGUUUUUCCUUUGAUCCACCUCUAUGGAUGGAUUGAUCCAUCUCUUUGGAUCUUUUGUUUUUCUUUUCUUUUUAACUAAAAUAUCAUAGUAUCCAUGCUAUAAUUUUCUAUAUCCUGGCUAUUUUUAUUAAUAUAGGAUGGACAUUUUCCCAUGUUGUUAAAUAUUUCCCACACCAAGUUGUAAAUGGAAGAAUUAGUUUUUUUAAUGUAAUGUUCCAGCUAACGUGAAAAGACACAUAACACUUUUUUCAUAUUUCAUAUUAUUUUCUGAUUCUUAGAAGUCAGGAAAAAGAAAAUUAGUAGUUUUAAAAGACCUAAAAAAUGCUUUGAAUAAUAGUAUUAAACAGGGUUUUAAAUUUAACCAGUGA